RNAcentral lists this ribosomal RNA (497 nucleotides) under uncultured bacterium. RNAcentral's name for it is "partial 16S ribosomal RNA". It matches the Rfam family "Bacterial small subunit ribosomal RNA", at positions 28 to 507 of the family's 1533-position model. The record is from RNAcentral.
GAUGAACGCUGGCGGCGUGCCUAAUACAUGCAAGUCGAGCGAACAGACGAGGAGCUUGCUCCUCUGACGUUAGCGGCGGACGGGUGAGUAACACGUGGAUAACCUACCUAUAAGACUGGGAUAACUUCGGGAAACCGAAGCUAAUACCGGAUAAUAUAUUGAACCGCAUGGUUCAAUAGUGAAAGACGGUUUUGCUGUCACUUAUAGAUGGAUCCGCGCCGCAUUAGCUAGUUGGUAAGGUAACGGCUUACCAAGGCAACGAUGCGUAGCCGACCUGAGAGGGUGAUCGGCCACACUGGAACUGAGACACGGUCCAGACUCCUACGGGAGGCAGCAGUAGGGAAUCUUCCGCAAUGGGCGAAAGCUUGACGGAGCAACGCCGCGUGAGUGAUGAAGGUCUUCGGAUCGUAAAACUCUGUUAUUAGGGAAGAACAAAUGUGCAAGUAACUAUGCACGUCUUGACGGUACCUAAUCAGAAAGCCACGGCUAACUACGUG